Molecule: small RNA, 16 nt
Filed under: Arabidopsis thaliana (thale cress)
Lineage: Eukaryota; Viridiplantae; Streptophyta; Magnoliopsida; Brassicales; Brassicaceae
Description: ATSL139020
Source: RNAcentral
AUAUUUUCACACCAGA